Molecule: long non-coding RNA, 85 nt
Organism: Aethalodelphis obliquidens (Pacific white-sided dolphin)
Lineage: Eukaryota; Metazoa; Chordata; Mammalia; Artiodactyla; Delphinidae
Exons: 3
Source: RefSeq, a predicted model, not a curated record
AUCAAAACAAUUCCAUUUACAAUGACAUCAAAAAGAAUAAGAUACUUAGGAAUAACCUAACUAAGGAGGUAAAGGAUCUGUCUUU